This is a long non-coding RNA of Neofelis nebulosa (Clouded leopard), 471 nucleotides long. RefSeq lists it as uncharacterized. The transcript has 4 exons. NCBI's taxonomy places the organism in Eukaryota, Metazoa, Chordata, Mammalia, Carnivora, Felidae. The record is from RefSeq and is a predicted model, not a curated record.
GAGAACCCAGAGCCUGAUAUGAGAGUGCAAUCCAGGCAGACACCUUGAGGUCUUUAGCAGAAGACUGAGCUAACCUGUACCCAGAUUCAUGACCAAACAGAAACUACACGCCAGGUGAUAAAAGGAUGGAAUGCUUUAACACUCCUCCCCACUUGCCAUAGUCCUCCUGAUUUGAUUCUGGUUUUGCUCCUUCGGACUUAAAUGAUCUUUCUGGGAACAAAGGCACUGCCACAAGGAGUCCAAGUGUUUGCUCUUUGCCAACAUUCCCCCAAAUCUACAGACAUUUUGAGAAAGAAUGCCUACACCUCUUAUUCAGAAAGUAAAAAGGAGAUCGGCUAAGCUUUGAAAGGUGAGGAACUCAAGGCCUGGAGAGUUUAAAUACUUUGCAGAAACUCCCACAGCUUUUAGGCUACCAAGGGAAGAUUCAAAUCCACAUGGGUUGAUUCUAAACCUGAAGUUCAAAAAUAAAUA